This 521-nucleotide ribosomal RNA is filed under the name Modestobacter sp. BC507. RNAcentral's name for it is "bacterial SSU rRNA". It matches the Rfam family "Bacterial small subunit ribosomal RNA", at positions 89 to 623 of the family's 1533-position model. The record is from RNAcentral. Lineage: Bacteria; Bacillati; Actinomycetota; Actinomycetes; Geodermatophilales; Geodermatophilaceae.
GCCCUAGCGGCGAACGGGUGAGUAACACGUGGGCAACCUGCCCUCAGCUCUGGGAUAACUCCAAGAAAUUGGUGCUAAUACCGGAUGUGACCGCUGACCGCAUGGUCUGGUGGUGGAAAGAUUCAUCGGCUGAGGAUGGGCCCGCGGCCUAUCAGCUUGUUGGUGGGGUCACGGCCCACCAAGGCGACGACGGGUAGCCGGCCUGAGAGGGUGACCGGCCACACUGGGACUGAGACACGGCCCAGACUCCUACGGGAGGCAGCAGUGGGGAAUAUUGCGCAAUGGGCGAAAGCCUGACGCAGCGACGCCGCGUGAGGGAUGACGGCCUUCGGGUUGUAAACCUCUUUCAGUAGGGACGAAGCGAAAGUGACGGUACCUACAGAAGAAGCACCGGCCAACUACGUGCCAGCAGCCGCGGUAAUACGUAGGGUGCAAGCGUUGUCCGGAAUUAUUGGGCGUAAAGAGCUCGUAGGCGGUCUGUCGCGUCGGCUGUGAAAACCCGAGGCUCAACCUCGGGCCUG